CGUAGGUGGCAAGCGUUGUCCGGAAUUAUUGGGCGUAAAGCGCGCGCAGGCGGCUUCUUAAGUCCAUCUUAAAAGUGCGGGGCUUAACCCCGUGAUGGGAUGGAAACUGAGAGGCUGGAGUAUCGGAGAGGAAAGUGGAAUUCCUAGUGUAGCGGUGAAAUGCGUAGAGAUUAGGAAGAACACCGGCGGCGAAGGCGACUUUCUGGACGACAACUGACGCUGAGGCGCGAAAGCGUGGGGAGCAA
RNAcentral lists this ribosomal RNA (245 nucleotides) under uncultured bacterium. RNAcentral's name for it is "partial 16S ribosomal RNA". It matches the Rfam family "Bacterial small subunit ribosomal RNA", at positions 526 to 771 of the family's 1533-position model. The record is from RNAcentral.